This is a long non-coding RNA of Nicotiana tabacum (common tobacco), 613 nucleotides long. RefSeq lists it as uncharacterized. The record is from RefSeq and is a predicted model, not a curated record. Lineage: Eukaryota; Viridiplantae; Streptophyta; Magnoliopsida; Solanales; Solanaceae.
AUAAAGUAGUAGUAAAUAGUAGAACUAAAUUUCAAUUUCGAGUUAUCCCAACGCCGACCAGUCACCUUCUUCUCCGUCUGCCGAGAUCCAAGCAUGUGGAACGACAGAUCGCCGCUCAUCCCCCGACAUCUGUUGGUUAAGAAUUGAGCCCGUGACCGCCACUAUGAGACAUAGAAUCCACUCUCCUCAUGUGACUAAAGGUCAUAUGCAAAAAUUAAGAGUAUGUUUGGUGAAAAAGUGCCUCCAUAGAGAUUCCAGUUCCCUCUGUAGAUGAAGGCUCACUAUGACUAAGCAAAAAACCAAUGUAGAGUCUGGUGAAGAGGGUAUAUAGAUACCGGUUUCUGUUCUGCAUGAAGGUUCACCAGAAGACCAGUAAAGAAUGAGUGUUCUUGUAGUUGUCUGUCUGACAUCUUGACUUGAUUUUCAGAUAGUGUUCUUUGUUUGUUUUGAAGAUGUAUUAAGGAACCUUUUAUCAUGUACUAGAACUAUUAUUGGAUGGUGUGUAUGAGACUUCAAAGCAGAUAUGUUAGUGCUUUGAAUUUAAGUUUAAUUUGUGUAGUAUGACAUUUGUAGAAUCAAGUUGAAUAUGUGAUUGUUGUAUCAUCUUAAAAUU